UACGUAGGGGGCAAGCGUUGUCCGGAGUCAUUGGGCGUAAAGAGCGCGUAGGCGGUCCGGUAAGUCCGCUCUGAAAGCCCGAGGCUCAACCUCGGGAGGCGGGUGGAUACUGCUGGGCUCGAGUACGGAAGAGGCGAGUGGAAUUCCCGGUGUAGCGGUGAAAUGCGCAGAUAUCGGGAGGAACACCAAUGGCGAAGGCAGCUCGCUGGGACGUUACUGACGCUGAGACGCGAAAGCGUGGGGAGCAAACAGG
RNAcentral lists this ribosomal RNA (253 nucleotides) under uncultured bacterium. RNAcentral's name for it is "partial 16S ribosomal RNA". It matches the Rfam family "Bacterial small subunit ribosomal RNA", at positions 524 to 776 of the family's 1533-position model. The record is from RNAcentral.